UACAGAGGGUGCAAGCGUUAAUCGGAAUUACUGGGCGUAAAGCGCACGUAGGUGGGUUUGUAAGUUGUUGGUGAAAAGCUUGGGCUUAACCUGGGUCUGUCCAGCAAAACUGCAAGUCUAGAGUGUAUUAGAGGGAAGUGGAAUUUCCGGUGUAGCAGUGAAAUGCGUAGAUAUCGGAAGGAACACCAGUGGCGAAGGCGACUUCCUGGAAUACUACUGACACUGAGGUGCGAAAGCGUGGGGAGCAAACAGGAUUAGAUACCCCGGUAGUCC
RNAcentral lists this ribosomal RNA (273 nucleotides) under uncultured bacterium. RNAcentral's name for it is "partial 16S ribosomal RNA". It matches the Rfam family "Bacterial small subunit ribosomal RNA", at positions 524 to 796 of the family's 1533-position model. The record is from RNAcentral.